UGGGGAAUAUUGCACAAUGGGCGCAAGCCUGAUGCAGCCAUGCCGCGUGUGUGAAGAAGGCCUUCGGGUUGUAAAGCACUUUCAGUCGGGAGGAAGGUGGUAAGGUUAAUAACCUUAUCAAUUGACGUUACCGACAGAAGAAGCACCGGCUAACUCCGUGCCAGCAGCCGCGGUAAUACGGAGGGUGCAAGCGUUAAUCGGAAUUACUGGGCGUAAAGCGCACGCAGGCGGUCUGUCAAGUCGGAUGUGAAAUCCCCGGGCUCAACCUGGGAACUGCAUUCGAAACUGGCAGGCUAGAGUCUUGUAGAGGGGGGUAGAAUUCCAGGUGUAGCGGUGAAAUGCGUAGAGAUCUGGAGGAAUACCGGUGGCGAAGGCGGCCCCCUGGACAAAGACUGACGCUCAGGUGCGAAAGCGUGGGGAGCAAACAGG
RNAcentral lists this ribosomal RNA (429 nucleotides) under Chloroflexota bacterium. RNAcentral's name for it is "Chloroflexi bacterium partial 16S ribosomal RNA". It matches the Rfam family "Bacterial small subunit ribosomal RNA", at positions 355 to 776 of the family's 1533-position model. Lineage: Bacteria; Bacillati; Chloroflexota. The record is from RNAcentral.